GUCCUUUUGAAUUUAAUUGAAGGUCUGACCUGCCCAGUGAUAAUUUUAACGGCCGCGGUAUACUGACCGUGCAAAGGUAGCAUAAUCAUUAGUCUUUUAAUAGAGGGCUGGAAUGAAAGGUUUAACGAGGAACUGACUGUCUCAUUUUAUUUGUUUUAAAAUUUAAUUUUUUAGUUAAAAAGCUAAAAUUUUAUUGGAAGACGAGAAGACCCUAUAGAUCUUUACAUAUUUUUAUUUAAAUAUUUAUAUAUCAAUAUUUUUAUUUUAAAAUGUGUUUUGUUGGGGUGACAAAAAUAUAUAAUUAACUUUUUUAUUUACAUAACAUUGAUUUAUGAUUAUUAGAUCCAAUCUUAUUGAUUAUUAGAUUAAGUUACCUUAGGGAUAACAGCGUAAUCCUCCUCCAGAGUUCAUAUUUACAGGAUGGGCUUGCGACCUCGAUGUUGGAUUAAGAUAAUAAUUAGGUGUAGCCGCUUAAUUUAUAGGUCUGUUCGACCUUUAAAUUCUU
This 505-nucleotide ribosomal RNA is filed under the name Agrionoptera insignis. RNAcentral's name for it is "partial 16S ribosomal RNA". It matches the Rfam family "Bacterial large subunit ribosomal RNA", at positions 1819 to 2597 of the family's 2925-position model. Lineage: Eukaryota; Metazoa; Arthropoda; Insecta; Odonata; Libellulidae. The record is from RNAcentral.